UGAAUCUCUGAAAUGGUGGGCAAUCAGCAA
RNAcentral lists this non-coding RNA (30 nucleotides) under Rattus norvegicus (Norway rat). Lineage: Eukaryota; Metazoa; Chordata; Mammalia; Rodentia; Muridae. The record is from RNAcentral.